UGGUUUGACUCCUUGGUCCGUGUUUCAGACGGGUCCCGAAGGUAUCCUGAAUCUUUCGCAUUGUUAAUCAUAUAAAUGCAUACCAAUAAAUAUUAAUAUCAUAGAUAUUACAUUUUUGAUAAAAUUCAUAUAAAUGAAUUUUAGCAUUAUAUAUAAUAAAAUCUAUCAACACUUUAUCAAAUCAUUAGUAUUUAUUCUAUGUUAAUAUGCUUAAAAAGCAAAUUAAUUUAAAUAAACUUAAAAUCACCAAUGAUCUUUUGAUAAAUAUUUUAUUAUGUUAAUAGAUUACAAUGUCCUUAUAUGAAAAAAAUGCACAUUAUUUUUUUUUUCAAUUAUUUAAUGAUGAAUUUUUCAUAAUGGA
This 361-nucleotide ribosomal RNA is filed under the name Anastrepha serpentina. Its description in RNAcentral is "partial 28S ribosomal RNA". Lineage: Eukaryota; Metazoa; Arthropoda; Insecta; Diptera; Tephritidae. The record is from RNAcentral.